RNAcentral lists this ribosomal RNA (327 nucleotides) under uncultured eukaryote. RNAcentral's name for it is "partial 18S ribosomal RNA". It matches the Rfam family "Eukaryotic small subunit ribosomal RNA", at positions 1470 to 1796 of the family's 1831-position model. The record is from RNAcentral.
CCCUUAGAUGUUCUGGACCGCACACGCGCUACACUGAAGGAGGCAGCGUGUACUCCUGGAUCGAAAGAUUUGGGUAACCCGCGAAUCUCCUUCGUGCUAGGGAUUGAGGUUUGCAAUUAUCCUUCAUGAACGAGGAAUUCCCAGUAAGUGCAAGUCAUAAGCUUGCGCUGACUACGUCCCUGCCCUUUGUACACACCGCCCGUCGCUACUACCGAUUGAAUGAUUUAGUGAGGACUUCGGACUGGGACCGAUGCGGCUUUCGGGCUGCGUCGGUAUUCUGGAAAGAUGUCCAAACUGUNUNAUUUAUNGGAAGUAAAANUCGUANCA